GCCUCUUUAGUUAAAUGGCAUAACAGCUGAUUUGUAAUCAGCCUUCGGUGGUUCGAUUCCAUCAAGGGGCA
RNAcentral lists this transfer RNA (71 nucleotides) under Klebsiella phage AmPh_EK80. Its description in RNAcentral is "tRNA-Thr". It matches the Rfam family "tRNA". From Rfam's summary of the family: Transfer RNA (tRNA) molecules are approximately 80 nucleotides in length. The record is from RNAcentral. Lineage: Duplodnaviria; Heunggongvirae; Uroviricota; Caudoviricetes; Demerecviridae.